Molecule: transfer-messenger RNA, 398 nt
Filed under: uncultured Parvicella sp.
Lineage: Bacteria; Pseudomonadati; Bacteroidota; Flavobacteriia; Flavobacteriales; Parvicellaceae
Rfam family: transfer-messenger RNA
About the family: Bacterial tmRNA, also known as 10Sa RNA or SsrA, is named for its dual tRNA and mRNA-like properties.
Source: RNAcentral
GGGGUCGACAUUGGAUUUGACAGCGAGUGAAAUGAUUCGGUAAGCAUGUCGAGCAUUGUGAAUCUAGCUCGUAAAUCUGAAUUCUCAAUCUCUUUAACCGGAGAAAACAACUACGCACUUGCUGCCUAAUUACUUGAUGUAAUUACGCUUAAUCCCAUACAAGGUAUGCGGACAAGUUGCCCAGCUACUGACUACCCGUUCAACGGUCUUUAGCAAUGGGUAUCGUUGGCUUGAACUAGUUGAUGCUUUGUCUCGCGGCUGAUACGAAACUAAAGAGAAUAAGUUGUAGUUGGGGUGUUUGUGUUCAGGCUACAAUCGAAAAUUAAUCGCAAAAUAAACAUGUAGAAAGCUCAGUUGUUCCUUGUUUGGACGAGGGUUCGAACCCCUCCGACUCCACU